This 348-nucleotide ribosomal RNA is filed under the name uncultured Helicobacter sp. Its description in RNAcentral is "bacterial SSU rRNA". It matches the Rfam family "Bacterial small subunit ribosomal RNA", at positions 278 to 643 of the family's 1533-position model. The record is from RNAcentral. Lineage: Bacteria; Pseudomonadati; Campylobacterota; Epsilonproteobacteria; Campylobacterales; Helicobacteraceae.
GACGGGUAUCCGGCCUGAGAGGGUGAACGGACACACUGGAACUGAGACACGGUCCAGACUCCUACGGGAGGCAGCAGUAGGGAAUAUUGCUCAAUGGGGGAAACCCUGAAGCAGCAACGCCGCGUGGAGGAUGAAGGUUUUAGGGUUGUAAACUCCUUUUGUUAGAGAAGAUUAUGACGGUAUCUAACGAAUAAGCACCGGCUAACUCCGUGCCAGCAGCCGCGGUAAUACGGAGGGUGCAAGCGUUACUCGGAAUCACUGGGCGUAAAGAGUGCGCAGGCGGGAUAGCAAGUCAGAUGUGAAAUGCUAUGGCUUAACCAUAGAACUGCAUUUGAAACUGUUAUUCUA